UCAGUGGGGAUGACAAAUAGUCCUCUCUCACUGAUGAUCAUCUGUUAGCUGUGCUUCACAUCUCCACCUCAGACAUUCAGCCUGACUUUGAUACACUUGUUAAAGAUCAACAGAGACUAGAUUUCUCUCACUGAUCAAGAA
Molecule: long non-coding RNA, 141 nt
Organism: Thalassophryne amazonica
Lineage: Eukaryota; Metazoa; Chordata; Actinopteri; Batrachoidiformes; Batrachoididae
Exons: 3
Source: RefSeq, a predicted model, not a curated record